Pleuronectes platessa (European plaice) is the source of this 886-nucleotide long non-coding RNA. RefSeq lists it as uncharacterized. The record is from RefSeq and is a predicted model, not a curated record. The transcript is spliced from 3 exons. NCBI's taxonomy places the organism in Eukaryota, Metazoa, Chordata, Actinopteri, Pleuronectiformes, Pleuronectidae.
CCACUGACAGCAGGGAUGAUGACUGAAGGGAAUAAAAUGAAUUUAUGUUAAAUCUAAAUUAAUAAAGGUUUCUACAAGAACAUGGUGGAUUUAAAUCCUCUUCAUUUUCUUCACACAGGAACAAGCUCUGCUGAUCAUUUCCAUGUGAAACUCUGGGCCUGAAGAUGCUUGGACAGAGUGUUUGGAUUUCUCCUCCGAAUCGGACUGAGUGCCCCCCCCCCCCCCCGACACACACACACACCGUCUGUCCCUGUACAGAGGAGACGGAGACAAGUCAGAAGAGUCACAACCUUCACUCAACAUCUCGGUGGAAGGAAAUCCCAUGUUCAUGCAGUGAAUCACCUCCUCACUGGGGAGUCUGGGACAUGUUUUGAAACAAUGAGUCAUUUGUAUUUUUAUUCGCAUAAUUGUUGAUGAUUUAUUCACGAAUCCAAACAAUUUUCAUUCCAGGUUCAAAAAGUACAACUCGUUUGUGUAACUUGCGGCUUUACUGCCAAAUAAAUACUUUUAGUGGCAUAUAAAAUUAAAUACAAAAAUAACUAUAAUUUUAAAUAGUAAAUAGCAUAAAUAAUAAAUCAGCUCCACAGUGUUGCUCCGUCAUUGUCUUCAUCGGCGAGCUCUCCUGGUACGAGAAAUACGUGAAUGGCACUGAAUCUGCAAUGUGGAGGAGAGGAAACAGGAAAACGCAAUUAGAUAAGUCUAAAGAAAUCAGGAAAUGCUUUAUCAUUUGUUGUAAUGAUAAACCGAACUGUUUAUUUAUAGCUUCUUUUAGUUCCACUCGUUUUCUACCCAUUUAAAGAGAAGCUUGUGUACAGCUCUAUAGAAUACAAGGGAUAUCCACCAUCUUAGUAAUUAUCUCUGUAACACCACUGUUUAAAGAUACUGU